RNAcentral lists this ribosomal RNA (2774 nucleotides) under Salmonella enterica subsp. enterica serovar 1,4,[5],12:i:-. RNAcentral's name for it is "23S ribosomal RNA". It matches the Rfam family "Bacterial large subunit ribosomal RNA". Lineage: Bacteria; Pseudomonadati; Pseudomonadota; Gammaproteobacteria; Enterobacterales; Enterobacteriaceae. The record is from RNAcentral.
GGGUUGUGAGGUUAAGCGACUAAGCGUACACGGUGGAUGCCCUGGCAGUCAGAGGCGAUGAAGGGCGUGCUAAUCUGCGAUAAGCGCCGGUAAGGUGAUAUGAACCGUUAUAACCGGCGAUACCCGAAUGGGGAAACCCAGUGUGAUUCGUCACACUAUCAUUAACUGAAUCCAUAGGUUAAUGAGGCGAACCGGGGGAACUGAAACAUCUAAGUACCCCGAGGAAAAGAAAUCAACCGAGAUUCCCCCAGUAGCGGCGAGCGAACGGGGAGGAGCCCAGAGCCUGAAUCAGCAUGUGUGUUAGUGGAAGCGUCUGGAAAGGCGCGCGAUACAGGGUGACAGCCCCGUACACAAAAGCGCAUGUGCUGUGAGCUCGAUGAGUAGGGCGGGACACGUGGUAUCCUGUCUGAAUAUGGGGGGACCAUCCUCCAAGGCUAAAUACUCCUGACUGACCGAUAGUGAACCAGUACCGUGAGGGAAAGGCGAAAAGAACCCCGGCGAGGAGAGUGAAAAAGAACCUGAAACCGUGUACGUACAAGCAGUGGGAGCACCCUUCGGGGUGUGACUGCGUACCUUUUGUAUAAUGGGUCAGCGACUUAUAUUCUGUAGCAAGGUUAACCGUAUAGGGGAGCCGGAGGGAAACCGAGUCUUAAUUGGGCGUUAAGUUGCAGGGUAUAGACCCGUAACCCGGUGAUUCAGCCAUGGGCAGGUUGAAGGUUGGGUAACACUAACUGGAGGACCGAACCGACUAAUGUUGAAAAAUUAGCGGAUGACCUGUGGCUGGGGUGAAAGGCCAAUCAAACCGGGAGAUAGCUGGUUUCCCCGAAAGCUAUUUAGGUAGCGCCUCGUGAAUUCAUCUCCGGGGUAGAGCACUGUUUCGGCUAGGGGCCAUCCCGGCUUACCAACCCGAUGCAAACUGCGAAUACCGGAGAAUGUUAUCACGGGAGACACACGGCGGGUGCUAACGUCCGUCGUGAAGAGGGAAACAACCCAGACCGCCAGCUAAGGUCCCAAAGUCAUGGUUAAGUGGGAAACGAUGUGGGAAGGCCCAGACAGCCAGGAUGUUGUUGGCUUAGAAGCAGCGAUGAUUUAAUGAAAGCGUUAUUGCUCACUGGUCGAGUCGGCCUGCGCGGAAGAUGUAACGGGGCUAAACCAUGCACCGAAGAUGCGGCAGCGAACGUAUCACCCAAUACUACUUUACGGAGUUGACGAUUGACGGAGCGAAGCGACGUCAAAGCGUUCAUUAAAGUCGAGUUGGCUUAGGGAUACGUUCGUUGGGCAGGGGAGCGUUCUGUAAGCCUGUUAAGGUGUGAGGUCGUGGAGGCAUGCUGGAGUAACGAUAUGAAAAGCUGCGAAUGCUGUCCAACAUCGGGCAACGAUAAGGCGGGUGAAAACGGUUAAUAUUCCCGCUCGCCGGAAGGGGACGGAGAAGGGUUCCUGUCGACGGUUGUCCCGGUUAAUCGGGGGGGCAAAUCCGGUUCACUUUAACACUGAGGCGUGACGACGAGGCACCUACGGUGCUGAAGCAACAAAUUCCCGUACUUGGUGUUACUGCGAAGGGGGACGGAGAAAUGUUGGCCGGGCGACGGUUGUCCCGGUUUAAGUGUAGGUGUGUGUUCAGGUAAACCGGUUCACUUUAAACUGAGGCGUGACGACGAGGCAAACCGAAGCAACAAAGGCUUGGUCAGGUAACAGAGAAUACACAGGUGGUCAGGUAGAGAAUACCAAGGCGCUUGAGAGAACUCGGGUGAAGGAACUAGGCAAAAUGGUGCCGUAACUUCGGGAGAAGGCACGCUGACACGUAGGUGAAGUGAUUUACUCAUGGAGCUGAAGUCAGUCGAAGAUACCAGCUGGCUGCAACUGUUUAUUAAAAACACAGCACUGUGCAAACACGAAAGUGGACGUAUACGGUGUGACGCCUGCCCGGUGCCGGAAGGUUAAUUGAUGGGGUCAGCGUAAGCGAAGCUCCUGAUCGAAGCCCCGGUAAACGGCGGCCGUAACUAUAACGGUCCUAAGGUAGCGAAAUUCCUUGUCGGGUAAGUUCCGACCUGCACGAAUGGCGUAAUGAUGGCAGGCUGUCUCCACCCGAGACUCAGUGAAAUUGAACUCGCUGUGAAGAUGCAGUGUACCCGCGGCAAGACGGAAAGACCCCGUGAACCUUUACUAUAGCUUGACACUGAACAUUGAGCCUUGAUGUGUAGGAUAGGUGGGAGGCUUUGAAGUGUGGACGCCAGUCUGCAUGGAGCCGACCUUGAAAUACCACCCUUUAAUGUUUGAUGUUCUAACGUGGACCCGUAAUCCGGGUUGCGGACAGUGUCUGGUGGGUAGUUUGACUGGGGCGGUCUCCUCCUAAAGAGUAACGGAGGAGCACGAAGGUUGGCUAAUCCUGGUCGGACAUCAGGAGGUUAGUGCAAUGGCAUAAGCCAGCUUGACUGCGAGCGUGACGGCGCGAGCAGGUGCGAAAGCAGGUCAUAGUGAUCCGGUGGUUCUGAAUGGAAGGGCCAUCGCUCAACGGAUAAAAGGUACUCCGGGGAUAACAGGCUGAUACCGCCCAAGAGUUCAUAUCGACGGCGGUGUUUGGCACCUCGAUGUCGGCUCAUCACAUCAUGGUGCAGAAGUAGGUCCCAAGGGUAUGGCUGUUCGACCCUGAGACUUAGAGUCUCCUGAAGGAACGUUGAAGACGACGACGUUGAUAGGCCGGGUGUGUAAGCGCAGCGAUGCGUUGAGCUAACCGGUACUAAUGAACCGUGAGGCUUAACCUUACAACGCCGAAG